This 482-nucleotide ribosomal RNA is filed under the name uncultured bacterium. Its description in RNAcentral is "partial 16S ribosomal RNA". It matches the Rfam family "Bacterial small subunit ribosomal RNA", at positions 30 to 507 of the family's 1533-position model. The record is from RNAcentral.
AUUGAACGCUGGCGGCAUGCCUUACACAUGCAAGUCGAACGGUAACGGGCCUUCGGGUGCCGACGAGUGGCGAACGGGUGAGUAAUACAUCGGAACGUGCCCGAUCGUGGGGGAUAACGCGGCGAAAGCUUUGCUAAUACCGCAUGCGAUCUACGGAUGAAAGCAGGGGACCGCAAGGCCUUGCGCGGACGGAGCGGCCGAUGGCAGAUUAGGUAGUUGGUGGGAUAAAAGCUUACCAAGCCGACGAUCUGUAGCUGGUCUGAGAGGAUGAUCAGCCACACUGGGACUGAGAAACGGCACAGACACCUACGGGAGGCAGCAGUGGGGAAUUUUGGACAAUGGGCGCAAGCCUGAUCCAGCCAUGCCGCGUGCAGGAUGAAGGCCUUCGGGUUGUAAACUGCUUUUGUACGGAACGAAAAGCCUUCUUUUAAUACAGGAGGGUCAUGACGGUACCGUAGGAAUAAGCACCGGCUAACUACGUG